RNAcentral lists this ribosomal RNA (440 nucleotides) under uncultured bacterium. Its description in RNAcentral is "partial 16S ribosomal RNA". It matches the Rfam family "Bacterial small subunit ribosomal RNA", at positions 338 to 795 of the family's 1533-position model. The record is from RNAcentral.
CCUACGGGAGGCUGCAGUGGGGAAUAUUGCACAAUGGGGGAAACCCUGAUGCAGCGACGCCGCGUGAAGGAAGAAGUAUUUCGGUAUGUAAACUUCUAUUAGCAGGGAAGAAAAUGACGGUACCUGACUAAGAAGCCCCGGCCAAAUACGUGCCAGCAGCCGCGGUAAAACGUAGGGGGCAAGCGUUAUCCGGAUUUACUGGGUGUAAAGGGAGCGUAGGCGGGGAUGCAAGUCAGAAGUGAAAGCCCGGGGCUCAACGCCGGGACUGCUUUUGAAACUGUGUUGCUAGAUUGCAGGAGAGGUAAGUGGAAUGUGUGGUGUAGCGGUGAAAUGCAUAGAUAUUAGGAAGAACACCGGUGGCGAAGGCAGCUUACUGGACUGUAAAUGACGCUGAGGCACGAAAGCGUGGGGAGCAAACAGGAUUAGAUACCCCAGUAGUC